This 395-nucleotide ribosomal RNA is filed under the name Crocinitomicaceae bacterium. Its description in RNAcentral is "bacterial SSU rRNA". It matches the Rfam family "Bacterial small subunit ribosomal RNA", at positions 1 to 350 of the family's 1533-position model. Lineage: Bacteria; Pseudomonadati; Bacteroidota; Flavobacteriia; Flavobacteriales; Crocinitomicaceae. The record is from RNAcentral.
UAAACUGAAGAGUUUGAUCAUGGCUCAGAUUGAACGCUGGCGGCAGGCUUAACACAUGCAAGUCGAGCGGCCUCACCACUCAAUUUAUUUUGCGACAUUGAGAGAUGUUGAAAGUAAGAAGAGAUAAAUUGAGUGGUGAGGUAGCGGCGGACGGGUGAGUAAUGCUUAGGAAUCUGCCUAUUAGUGGGGGACAACAUUUCGAAAGGGAUGCUAAUACCGCAUACGCCCUACGGGGGAAAGCAGGGGAUCUUCGGACCUUGCGCUAAUAGAUGAGCCUAAGUCAGAUUAGCUAGUUGGUGGGGUAAAGGCCUACCAAGGCGACGAUCUGUAGCGGGUCUGAGAGGAUGAUCCGCCACACUGGGACUGAGACACGGCCCAGACUCCUACGGGAGGCA